CCUACGGGCGGCAGCAGUGAGGAAUAUUGGUCAAUGGGCGCUAGCCUGAACCAGCCAAGUAGCGUGAAGGAUGACUGCCCUAUGGGUUGUAAACUUCUUUUAUAUGGGAAUAAAGUGCAGUAUGUAUACUGCUUUGCAUGUACCUUAUGAAUAAGGAUCGGCUAACUCCGUGCCAGCAGCCGCGGUAAUACGGAGGAUUCGAGCGUUAUCCGGAUUUAUUGGGUUUAAAGGGAGCGUAGUCGGGUUGUUAAGUCAGUUGUGAAAGUUUGCGGCUCAACCGUAAAAUUGCAGUUGAUACUGGCAGCCUUGAGUACAGUAGAGGUAGGCGGAAUUCGUGGUGUAGCGGUGAAAUGCGUAGAUAUCACGAAGAACUCCGAUUGCGAAGGCAGCCUGCUGGACUGUAACUGACGCUGAUGCUCGAAAGUGUGGGUAUCAAACAGGAUUAGAUACCCUGGUAGUC
Molecule: ribosomal RNA, 460 nt
Filed under: uncultured bacterium
Lineage: Bacteria
Description: partial 16S ribosomal RNA
Rfam family: Bacterial small subunit ribosomal RNA
Source: RNAcentral